RNAcentral lists this ribosomal RNA (253 nucleotides) under uncultured bacterium. RNAcentral's name for it is "partial 16S ribosomal RNA". It matches the Rfam family "Bacterial small subunit ribosomal RNA", at positions 524 to 776 of the family's 1533-position model. The record is from RNAcentral.
GACGGAGGAGGCUAGCGUUGUUCGGAAUUACUGGGCGUAAAGCGCGCGCGGGCGGUUAUGCAAGUCAGGGGUGAAAGCCCGAGGCUCAACCUCGGAACGGCCUUUGCGACUGCAUGACUUGAGUCCGGUAGGGGAGUGUGGAAUUCCUGGUGUAGCGGUGAAAUGCGCAGAUAUCAGGAGGAACACCGGCGGCGAAGGCGGCACUCUGGGCCGGUACUGACGCUGAGGAGCGAAAGCGUGGGUAGCAAACAGG